CCAAAAGAUAUAAAUUCUGAACUAAAAAUACCAUAGUAAACUUUUCAGUUAAAAGGAAUGACCUUUCAACGAAAAAUAGUUGAAUUUUGCUGGUUGGUUUUUUAUUAACAUAGUCAGAAUUUAAGUGUAAAACUAAAAAAAAAAGGGAAGCUGAGGAUUACAGUGGUUCAGAUUACGGUGUUUAAUUGCCCCUAUGCUGUAAGCUUCUCUUCAAAUCUGAUUUUCUUCGAGGAUGAUACAAAUUGAAGUAUGCGGAAUAUUUGUUUAAAU
Belonocnema kinseyi is the source of this 270-nucleotide long non-coding RNA. RefSeq lists it as uncharacterized. The transcript is spliced from 3 exons. The record is from RefSeq and is a predicted model, not a curated record. Lineage: Eukaryota; Metazoa; Arthropoda; Insecta; Hymenoptera; Cynipidae.